CUGGGCUGUGGGACUUGGUCAGUGGA
This 26-nucleotide non-coding RNA is filed under the name Homo sapiens (human). Lineage: Eukaryota; Metazoa; Chordata; Mammalia; Primates; Hominidae. The record is from RNAcentral.